GCUUUGCACAAAUCCCUCCCCUCAUGAAAAAAAAUGAAAAUAUCCCCUCUGGCAUUUUCUGAGGAAAACAUUUUAGUUCCUCCGUUAUAAAUGUUCUGUGUAAAUGUUUAAUUUAGCUUAGUUUAGAACAAAUGCCUUAAAAAUAUAUCAAGAUUGAAACAAAAGGUUGUUUGGGGUCAACCCAGCAUGUUUUCUUUGUUUUGUUUUGUUUUUCUUUUAAUCUCAUCAAAAAAUAAAAUGAAAAUAUAUUUUUUUCAGGUGGAGCCACAUCACAUUAAAAAAUGUCCUUAAUUCUCUACUGGAACUGCAGGUGAACUAAAAGUCUGUUACCCACUGACUUUGCGUGCAAAGCGGUCUCGCAAUUAGUUCAGAUGACACAGCAAAGAGGUAAUGUCUCUGGAAUGACAUUUGCAGUGAAUAAAAGGCUUUUAAGCUGAUGUUAGAAGCGUGAAAUGUCAGCUGGCUGCCGCUGGGGCAGGGACACCAGGCAACUUCACAAGCUGCUUUCUGUCGUCUCUGCCAGAGAGGACGUUUCAGCAGGUUUGGAAGUGAACAAACAAGACUUCCAUGACACCAUAGCAAGGGAUUUGUGACGUUGCUGAGAAGUGCAGCCAUUGCCACUAGGCUGGACUGGCUGGGGUGGCCUCUGCAGGAGCAUCAGGGCAGAGACAGCAGCUGGGGUACGUGGCUCCUCUCAUGAAAGCCAGUCUGGAGAUGCAUGUGCCCUGCCAGCCCUUCCCGAUGAAGUGCAAAAGGGGAUAAGAGAGUGUUCAAAUGCAAGUCUGCCCUCUGGACAUCCAUGGCAAGGGAGCAAAGCCACUGAAACAGAGGAGUUCUGGGUGGGAUUCACUGCCCCCCAGCCCAGGCACCGAGGUGGAGGUAUGGCUCUUGCUGGAGUCGUGUGGGCUCUACCGAGCAUCCCAGUGUGGUGGGACAGGCAGGGUGGACAGGAAUCCCUCCAGCAUCUCCUGGUGACUUCUGGUCUGAAUGAGGAUCCUGGCUGGCAGCCCCACAUCUGCACACCCUUGUGAGCAGGGCCAAAAAUCUGGGUUCAGCCACGGGGAAGGCACAGGGGGAGGGAUGGGGAUGGGAGAAGUGCUGCUCUCCUCUGCUGCUUCAGCUCUGGGAGUGCGUCAUUACUUCCAAAAGUGCAAGCCAGAAAGUAAAAAUGAAAGACGAAAGUUUUGAAUGAAAUAAAGCAUUCCAUUCAGAUUUGGUCA
Molecule: long non-coding RNA, 1220 nt
Filed under: Anser brachyrhynchus (Pink-footed goose)
Lineage: Eukaryota; Metazoa; Chordata; Aves; Anseriformes; Anatidae
Description: lncRNA (ENSABRG00000012175.1)
Source: RNAcentral